UCACGUUGAAACACCGGUUCCCGUCCGAUCACCGAAGUUAAGCAACGUCGAGCUUGGUCAGUACCUAGAUGGGUGACCGUUUGGAAAUAUC
Acanthosepion pharaonis is the source of this 91-nucleotide non-coding RNA. The record is from the annotation of a GenBank genome assembly. NCBI's taxonomy places the organism in Eukaryota, Metazoa, Mollusca, Cephalopoda, Sepiida, Sepiidae.